This is a long non-coding RNA of Pan troglodytes (chimpanzee), 849 nucleotides long. RefSeq lists it as uncharacterized. The transcript has 5 exons. Lineage: Eukaryota; Metazoa; Chordata; Mammalia; Primates; Hominidae. The record is from RefSeq and is a predicted model, not a curated record.
AUAGAAUCAGCACCCAUCUUUGAGUCAGAGUUUGAGAUGCAAAUCCUUUACUGUAUAGCCUUGAUCAAAUGACUUCACCUCAUUGAAUUAAUCUUCUUCUGCAUAAAAUGGGGUCACCAUCUGCUUAUCUAAAUUGUUACAAAUGGGACAGUAUAUGUGCCAUUCCAGAUACCUAAUCACAGCUCAAUCGAUGCUGGUGUCUUUUUCCUUUUUCCUUCUGCAGAAAACAUGCUUUACAUAGGAUCUCUGAACUUAAAGAAUGGGAAGAAGAAAAAUCAUGUUUCCAGCUUGGGCUGCUGUUUCAUCUGUUGGACUUGCUUAAAACGUAUGGGUUUGUUUACCCUUCCUGCAGGCAUCCAACCUGGCCUUUUAUUCCUGCUUAAGUAGGACAUGCAGCCUGCUGGGGACCCGUGGCUCAAAUCCUCCAACUGCAGGACUGCCGGCCCUGGGACUCAUGAAUAAUGGAAGUACAGUAACCACUCCUUACAGCCCAGACGACUUUCCAGGAGCAGGCUGUACCCCGAAAGUAAACAAGGAACAAGGGGCAAGGAGACAGAGAGAGAUGGGGAAAUAUCCUCACCAACAGCCCUGCUGCAGUGAAAACUGGAGGAUCCCUGAAUGGAAAGGAAUGCUAUGCACACUUUUUGGAUACAGAAAGUGAGAUUCAGAGGGGUUAAACAGCUUUCCUGAAGCCACACAGCGAGAUUGUCGAUCUGAACUGAAGAUUGUUUGACAUCAAAGCUCAUUUCUUUCCCUAAAUGUCAGCAUUCUUUCCUGACUUAUUAAUUUGAUUUCUGUCCUCCCCUCAUGGAAGUUAAUUAAAGGAAUGCGAGAACCUUUUAGAAAAUC